GCUUCUGCAGCACAUACUAAAACUGAAAUGAUACAGAAAAGAUUAGCAUGACCCCUACACAAGGAUGACACAUGACUUUGUGAUAGAUUCUAUAUUUUU
Molecule: small nuclear RNA, 99 nt
Organism: Ailuropoda melanoleuca (giant panda)
Lineage: Eukaryota; Metazoa; Chordata; Mammalia; Carnivora; Ursidae
Source: Ensembl